UAAUAUCUGUGUCAUUUUGGUCUUUUGUGGAUAGUUGUCUCAUUGGCAAUCAUACCACAUCUUCUUUUUCUUUUCUUUUUUAUCAAUUCCCCUUUCCAUCUAGGUACAAAUAUCAAUUUUAUUUUCAAUAAAAGAACAGAGAUCCAAUGUCCCCGCAUUGUACAUACUUUAUGAGGGGGAUAGGAGGGGUUCUGAUGCAAGUUUAUUCUUAUUUAUUUUUUUUAUCUCGAGAGAAUAUGAGCUUCAUGAUAAAUACAGUGGGAUUUCUAUCAUAAUAUAUAUUUUAUAUAUUUCAAUUUCCAAGGUGCAAAGUUGAUUUAUGUAUUUGAUCAGGAUUAUUUUCGCAAAUGUCAAAGACAUUGCUGAUGAUAUAUAAGUUUCACAAAAAUCGGUAAAGAAUUGAUCACAUGACACUUAGGGCUAAUAAGACCAGACAAACCGACGUAAAUUCCGAGAAAGUAGGGUCACUUCGAUUCCUAUAUUCAAAAGUUCCAUAUACAGAAGUGCCGCUGUAAUUGGUUUGUUUUUGAGAUGUCAAAU
This 540-nucleotide long non-coding RNA is filed under the name Mytilus galloprovincialis (Mediterranean mussel). Lineage: Eukaryota; Metazoa; Mollusca; Bivalvia; Mytilida; Mytilidae. The record is from RNAcentral.